AGAAGGAAUGGAGAAGAUCCACACAGUGCCUCACAGCAGACUCCAAGUAUGAAAUGGAAUGGCAGGCAUCAGAAGAUGCCCCUCAUGACAUGGUUGCCAUGUUACAGAGAGUUCACCUGACUGACGACAUGGAAUGGGUGAUCGUGGUCACAUAAUUCAGUUGUCUUCAGGUACAGUAUAAUAGAGGAGCAGGUGUGAUCCAGGGGAAUCUCCAGAUUUGGCAAAGACAGGUCAGCAGGGGGACAGUGGCAGCUCUCUUUUGCCAGCAUCAGCUGCCUCUUCAACUGAGGAGAAUGUGAGAGCACUGAUGGUGAUCUUACAUGGAUGUGGGCAGGGAUAUAGUAACCAAUAUACAGAUGCUUUCUUCAUAAUCUUACUUUCCUUCGGUCAGGCAUUUCUGAUCCAAAAGAAGUUAUUUCUGGCAAUUCUCUUCUGGCAAGCUGUGGAGCCUUAGUUCAGAAAGACUGAGCCGUCAUUCAGUCAGUCUGGCUAAGUCGCCACCUCUUGCUUUAAGGCCUUGCCGGAAAUGGAGGACUUUUGGAGUGGAUUCUCGGCGCGUGAGCAGUAAAGAAGGAAUGGAGAAGAUCCACACAGUGCCUCACAGCAGACUCCAAGUAUGAAAUGGAAUGGGUAUGUAAACCAUAGUUGUUAUCAUUCAUAUGAGCAAACAGUGGAUUGAUGUUGAAUUGUUGUGUCCUUAACAUAUUUACGUUUGCAUGCGUGGUGGACGAUAUGCGGGAUUCUCUUUUCGGGUUUAACUGGGUAAACCUAUUCCGACGCACCUGUCCCCACAAAAGAGGUGUGUAAAAGCGUUUUGUAAACCCUCUAUAGUAUAAUCAUUUAUACCACCAUUGAUAUACUUAUUAAUACCAACCAUCAUGACUUACAGUAAUACUAACACACUUUAUUUCUCUUCCCUUUCCCCUAUACCUCACCUGUGAGGUAAACCAUUACCAGCCAUCAACCAUCUCUGUGCCUGUCCCUCAUCACACCUGAAGUCACAUCCCUAUGACUGCCCUACCAUCGCCUGCUGUGGCUCCCUGCCCGAAUCCUUGGCCCACGCAUCCUAGCGACCCAUCACUUUCCGAAAUAACUAAUGGAUUACUAAUGGACAAUUUAUUCCCUACACUGGACUAUUUGAACUUUCAUUGUCAUUGUAACUUUCAAACUACAAAUGACUUUACUGUAACUGACCCUAGGCAGAUGGGUUGGGCCCUUGAGUCGUGGAUCUGUCUGAGGUUUCUUCCUACUGUAUAUGUAUCUCCAAUUCUAGGGAGUUUUUCCUUGCCCCUGUUACUCAUGGGCUCUCUUUGAAUGUUUAACACUCUGUAAGGCGCUCUA
Molecule: long non-coding RNA, 1341 nt
Organism: Sardina pilchardus (European sardine)
Lineage: Eukaryota; Metazoa; Chordata; Actinopteri; Clupeiformes; Clupeidae
Exons: 5
Source: RefSeq, a predicted model, not a curated record